CAGAGUGUAGCUAAAAGAUUAAAGCAUCUCCCUUACACCGAGAAGAUACCCGUGCAAAUCGGGUCAUUCUGA
RNAcentral lists this transfer RNA (72 nucleotides) under Epiplatys grahami. Its description in RNAcentral is "tRNA-Val". It matches the Rfam family "tRNA". Rfam says of the family: Transfer RNA (tRNA) molecules are approximately 80 nucleotides in length. Their secondary structure includes four short double-helical elements and three loops (D, anti-codon, and T loops). Lineage: Eukaryota; Metazoa; Chordata; Actinopteri; Cyprinodontiformes; Nothobranchiidae. The record is from RNAcentral.